This 393-nucleotide ribosomal RNA is filed under the name uncultured bacterium. Its description in RNAcentral is "partial 16S ribosomal RNA". It matches the Rfam family "Bacterial small subunit ribosomal RNA", at positions 523 to 918 of the family's 1533-position model. The record is from RNAcentral.
CUACGGAGGAUCCGAGCGUUAUCCGGAUUUAUUGGGUUUAAAGGGUGCGCAGGCGGGAGAUUAAGUCGGCGGUGAAAUUUUGCAGCUCAACUGUAAAAGUGCCUUCGAAACUGGUUUUCUUGAGUGUAGAUGAAGUAGGCGGAAUUUGUGGUGUAGCGGUGAAAUGCAUAGAUAUCACGAGGAACUCCGAUUGCGCAGGCAGCUUACUAAACUACUACUGACGCUCAGGCACGAAGGCGUGGGGAUCAAACAGGAUUAGAUACCCUGGUAGUCCACGCAGUAAACGAUGAUUACUAGCUGUUUGCGAUACAAUGUAAGCGGCUGAGCGAAAGCGUUAAGUAAUCCACCUGGGGAGUACGUUCGCAAGAAUGAAACUCAAAUGAAUUGGCGGGG